UCCCACGACAAUACUUAGUCCAGAAAGAAGUCACAUCAAAUCCGACAAGUUCAUUUUAUCAGUGGUCAAGAAUGUUUAACAAGUCUUGGCUCCUACAGACAUUCCUUAAACUAUAAACAGAACAAAAUAUAAUAGAACUUCCAUCCCAAAACCACACUCAGAAGAGAAGACAUUUAAAAAGUACUCUAAAUUAAAGUUAAAUAAGUAAAUAAAACCAUUCUACAUCAGUUUUCCGUUUAACAUCUGACCUCAUUCUCCACUGUGUACACUUCUUUCCUGCACAAUAUAAGUUAGUUCAUGUUCGUCCUAUCACACCUCUUCUGUGAGGGUUUGCUGGACUUUGCAAACAUGAUAAAAACAUCACUCAAACUUCUGAACUUGAGCGAUAAGGAGAGAACAUCGAUGUCACACCCCAGAACACUGAUUGUGUAGUUGAGAAAAAACACUGUAGAAUGUAUCAACAAUGCAUGGAACACAAACAUGACGAUGGGAAUUCAGGGUGCAGGACGACCUUCGGAAACAUGUGGUUCCGUUACCUUCCACGUGUAAAGUGAGCCUUCUCAGGAACGUGCCAGAGAAGUGCCGGAACUGUGCUUUGAAGACUUUUCAGCUUGGAAGCCAUCCACCAUUGGUGAAGCCCAAGUUUUGGAGAGGCCCAUGUGGCGACGGGCUGAGGUUUCCUGCUUCCAGCCGGCACAGACUUGCCAGACCUGUGACGGAGCUGUGUGGAACAGACAAGCUUUCUUCACCAAGCCCCACCCAAAUUUCAGGUUUUUAAGCUGAAAAUAAAUGAAUUUUUAAAAUAA
Molecule: long non-coding RNA, 806 nt
Organism: Herpailurus yagouaroundi (jaguarundi)
Lineage: Eukaryota; Metazoa; Chordata; Mammalia; Carnivora; Felidae
Exons: 2
Source: RefSeq, a predicted model, not a curated record